Non-coding RNA from Oncorhynchus mykiss (rainbow trout), 1020 nucleotides. The record is from RefSeq and is a predicted model, not a curated record. NCBI's taxonomy places the organism in Eukaryota, Metazoa, Chordata, Actinopteri, Salmoniformes, Salmonidae.
UCAGAGGGACGGGACCUCUGGCUUUCUCGUCCAAUGGGUUUUGAGAAGGAGGUGACGCGAGGAGUAUUUUCUUUGUCAAGGAUCUUCUCUGUUGACUGUAAAAUUACUUUCAUGGUUGACCUCAAUCAAACAGACAAGAUGUUUUCUACACGGACAAAAUCAACACGACUAUUUAUGCAAAUCAAACAUUAUGAACUGGAGGGUGACGAGGCUUUCCAGGAGUUUGUGUUGGUGCAUCAUAACCGCAGCCAGUUGCCUACCUGGGCCAAUGACUCUCUGCUCCAAUCAGCAGCCCCCGAGACUGGCCAGUUGAGGAGUCAGAAGAAGAAGCUUGAUUACCUCAACUUUGAGUCAGACGAGAAGACGAAGGAUGAGGAGUAAGAUGAGGAAGAAGACCAGGUUAGGUGCUAAUAAAGAGGCUCUGAAGUCUGGCCUGUCUGAUAUGGAGUACCUGUGGCACAGAGACGGGGUGCUGCGGAGGAUGAAGAUGAUGAUGAGGAAGAUGAACCUGCCCCUAUGCAGCAGACAGACAGUGCCUAUGAGAGUGGGGAUAGAGAUGGUAUCCAGAGGGCCAAAGCACCAGUCCCUUCACUGGAUAAAAGCCAGGGCUAACCUAGCAAGCCUGUCAAACAGCAGGAGGUUUGGCAAAUGCCUAACCUUUAACACAUAGCAUUUGACCUGCACCCUUGAUCCACAAACCUUGGGACUGUAGAUUUAAACUGAAAUCCUACCUCCAAUGAACUGAUGGAGGAUAGCACUUAAAAUGGCAUAUUGUGUAUCAUUCUGACAGUGAAAUUAGGGUUGAGGGUUUUCAUUGCCAUAUCCCCUUUGGUAAUGUGUGUGUGUGUCCCUAUCUCUCUGUGCCCCAUAGACUGAAUUCACAGUGAAACUGCGAGAAUGUCCCUUCAACGUCAAAGAGCAACAAGUGCGAGAGUUCAUGACUACUCUGAAGCCUGCAGCCAUUCGAAUCAUCAAGAAUGCCACCGGCAACAAAACUGAGUAUAUGUAUGUGGAUCUGCG